Molecule: ribosomal RNA, 253 nt
Filed under: uncultured bacterium
Lineage: Bacteria
Description: partial 16S ribosomal RNA
Rfam family: Bacterial small subunit ribosomal RNA
Source: RNAcentral
UACGGGGGGGGCAAGCGUUGUUCGGAAUUACUGGGCGUAAAGGGUUCGUAGGUGGCCAACUAAGUCAGACGUGAAAUCCCUCAGCUUAACUGGGGAACUGCGUCUGAUACUGGUUGGCUUGAGUGCAGGAGAGGAACGCGGAAUUCCAGGUGUAGCGGUGAAAUGCGUAGAUAUCGCUUGGAACGCCAAAGGUGAAAACAGGUUGCUGGGGUUGUGCCGACGCUGAGACACGAAAGCCAGGGGAGCAAACGGG